GACUCUGGGGUAUUUCUGAUG
RNAcentral lists this microRNA (21 nucleotides) under Pteropus alecto (black flying fox). RNAcentral's name for it is "pal-miR-9994-5p". The record is from miRBase by way of RNAcentral. Lineage: Eukaryota; Metazoa; Chordata; Mammalia; Chiroptera; Pteropodidae.